GUGCAGCAGGCGCGAAACCUUCGCAAUGCAGGAAACUGCGACGAGGGAACUCCAAGUGCCUACGCUCAGCGUAGGCUGUUCUCAAGCCUAGAAAGCUUGAGGAGUAAGGGCUGGGUAAGACGGGUGCCAUCUGUGGUAGCAGUCAAUAGAUUCGAUUUGUUACUGCAAGGCAUAAGCCGCGCGGUAAUACCCGCAGCCCAAGUGGUGGCCGCUUUUAUGGGCCUAAAGCGUCCGUAGCCGGCCCGGUAAAUGCCUGGGUAAAUCGUGGAGCCCAACUUCACGAAUUCCGGGUAGACUGCCGAGCUCGGGACCGGAAGAGGGGAG
Molecule: ribosomal RNA, 324 nt
Filed under: uncultured microorganism
Description: bacterial SSU rRNA
Rfam family: Archaeal small subunit ribosomal RNA
Source: RNAcentral